GGUUUUAUAGUCAAUAUUUAUGAUAUCGGACUGCAAUUCCGGAGUAGUAGUUAAUAUACU
This 60-nucleotide transfer RNA is filed under the name Thermobia domestica (firebrat). Its description in RNAcentral is "tRNA-Cys". The record is from RNAcentral. Lineage: Eukaryota; Metazoa; Arthropoda; Insecta; Zygentoma; Lepismatidae.